This is a long non-coding RNA of Diospyros lotus (date-plum), 1748 nucleotides long. RefSeq lists it as uncharacterized. The record is from RefSeq and is a predicted model, not a curated record. NCBI's taxonomy places the organism in Eukaryota, Viridiplantae, Streptophyta, Magnoliopsida, Ericales, Ebenaceae. The transcript has 2 exons.
UUAUGAUAAAAUUGGAGUUUAAUAUAUAAUUUUUUCUAAUUUAAAGUGUAAUAAAUAGCUGUAUAUAUAUAUAUAUAUGCACGUGCAUAUGUGCGUGAAUGAGGCAGCUUCUGUGAAGCUUUAAUGGCUGAGAUUUUUGGCUGAAAAUUGGGAGAUGGCAGCAGCGAGAUUUGAGAAAGAAGAUAUGGCAGCCGAAUUUGUGUGAUUGUGCAAUUAAUGUGAUCUAAUAUAUAUAUAUAUAUAUCUAUAUCUAUCUAUGCAUCUCGUACAACAGCUCACCUAUAAAUUGAGAUGCAUUUGGCCAAAUUCAAAGCAGCAAGAAAAUGGGAGUUGAGAGAGCAUUCGGCCAAGAAUGAGAGAUUGAGGGAGAGACCGAGAGAAGCAAGGGAGAGAAAGAGGCCUUGGCCGAAGCCGGCCAUGGCAGCCAUAAAGGAAUUGCGGCGAGCAGGGGAGGUCGACGGGUUGAGCAACGAUGGCUGCGCGCGAGUUGGAGACGGCCUAGAGUUCGGCCAGAGAUGGCCGAAAUGAGCCACGAUCGCAAGUCGGAAGCAGCCCAAAGCGAGGCCAGUAGCUAGGUGCGGCAAUGGCCGCAACCUGGUGCGCCAAAGCAGCAACUAGCCGCGGUUGCAGCAGCCGCGAGUUGCUUCCAGCCAGGGCGGAGGCCGGUGCUCGACCAGCGGGAAGCGUCGGCAGCCGGUGAGGGCGGUGAGGCAGGCGUUGUCGGCGGCGAGGGGUUGCAAGCGGUGGCUGGGCGAGUGCACUGAAGCCGCACGCAGGAAAGAGAAGAAAAAAAAAAGAAGAAGAAGAAGAAGAAGAGAAAAAGAAGAAGAAGAAAAAGAAAAGGAAGAAGGAAAAGAAGGAAGAAGAAGAAGAAGAAGUUGCAGGUGGUUGUGCGGGAAGCAGGGGAGAGAAGGAGGAAGAAGAAGAUGAAGUGGAGGGAAAAGAAAAAGAAAAAAGAAAAGAAAAGAAAGAAAAAGGAAGAAAAGAAAAGAAAAAGAAGAAAAAUAGGAAAAUGAUGGGGAAAAAUCCUAGAAAAUCUCAAAAGAUAGGAAACUAUAUUUUAGUGAUAUCCUGUAGAUUUUAGUGAGAAAAACGGCCCAGGCACGCUUUUCGAGAAUAUGGCACGCAUACCGAGGAAAUCGAGGAUGCUAAGUAAAGGAUGCUUUAAGGUUGAAUUUGAAGAGACUCGUGCAAAUUUUGAGGAUGACACGCAAAUCGAGGCGAUGCAAGAGGCAAUGCGCGAAUAUCGAGGUAGCUCGAUAAGCUUGAGAAUGUAAGUGGUACUUUCUCGAAAAUAUUUUCAUCAUAUUGACAUGCCUUGAUAUGUAUCCAUCACGUAGAAUGCAUCCAUGACUUGACUAUGAAACGCAUAAAUAUACGUUGAUGUCAUUGAUCACACACAUAUGAGGUCGUAGGGAGUAUGAACUGGCACCGCUGCCUUAUCAAGGGUGCACCCAUACACCCCGUCUUCGAAAGAGGUGGUCGCUAAAAUGGUAGGCAACAUGAGGGGUGCAGUUGACACCUACGAUGAAAGACAUUGCAUACACGCAAGACAUAGCAUGAUAUACCCUUACUUAGAUGUUUCUUCAUCUAACUUGGGUUCGCCCCUAGAACAUUCAACAUUCCAAUCGGGAUUCGCAGUGAUGAUACAGAGGUUGAAGAUGUGUAAUGACGCGAGACACCAAAAAAUGAGUAAAUGUACCAUGAUAUAUUGAAAUGUUAAUUAUAUACGUUUUAAUUUAUUUUCA